Molecule: ribosomal RNA, 1509 nt
Filed under: Mycolicibacterium smegmatis
Lineage: Bacteria; Bacillati; Actinomycetota; Actinomycetes; Mycobacteriales; Mycobacteriaceae
Description: bacterial SSU rRNA
Rfam family: Bacterial small subunit ribosomal RNA
Source: RNAcentral
AGAGUUUGAUCCUGGCUCAGGACGAACGCUGGCGGCGUGCUUAACACAUGCAAGUCGAACGGAAAGGCCCUUUCGGGGGUACUCGAGUGGCGAACGGGUGAGUAACACGUGGGUGAUCUGCCCUGCACUUUGGGAUAAGCCUGGGAAACUGGGUCUAAUACCGAAUACACCCUGCUGGUCGCAUGGCCUGGUAGGGGAAAGCUUUUGCGGUGUGGGAUGGGCCCGCGGCCUAUCAGCUUGUUGGUGGGGUGAUGGCCUACCAAGGCGACGACGGGUAGCCGGCCUGAGAGGGUGACCGGCCACACUGGGACUGAGAUACGGCCCAGACUCCUACGGGAGGCAGCAGUGGGGAAUAUUGCACAAUGGGCGCAAGCCUGAUGCAGCGACGCCGCGUGAGGGAUGACGGCCUUCGGGUUGUAAACCUCUUUCAGCACAGACGAAGCGCAAGUGACGGUAUGUGCAGAAGAAGGACCGGCCAACUACGUGCCAGCAGCCGCGGUAAUACGUAGGGUCCGAGCGUUGUCCGGAAUUACUGGGCGUAAAGAGCUCGUAGGUGGUUUGUCGCGUUGUUCGUGAAAACUCACAGCUUAACUGUGGGCGUGCGGGCGAUACGGGCAGACUAGAGUACUGCAGGGGAGACUGGAAUUCCUGGUGUAGCGGUGGAAUGCGCAGAUAUCAGGAGGAACACCGGUGGCGAAGGCGGGUCUCUGGGCAGUAACUGACGCUGAGGAGCGAAAGCGUGGGGAGCGAACAGGAUUAGAUACCCUGGUAGUCCACGCCGUAAACGGUGGGUACUAGGUGUGGGUUUCCUUCCUUGGGAUCCGUGCCGUAGCUAACGCAUUAAGUACCCCGCCUGGGGAGUACGGCCGCAAGGCUAAAACUCAAAGGAAUUGACGGGGCCCGCACAAGCGGCGGAGCAUGUGGAUUAAUUCGAUGCAACGCGAAGAACCUUACCUGGGUUUGACAUGCACAGGACGCCGGCAGAGAUGUCGGUUCCCUUGUGGCCUGUGUGCAGGUGGUGCAUGGCUGUCGUCAGCUCGUGUCGUGAGAUGUUGGGUUAAGUCCCGCAACGAGCGCAACCCUUGUCUCAUGUUGCCAGCACGUUAUGGUGGGGACUCGUGAGAGACUGCCGGGGUCAACUCGGAGGAAGGUGGGGAUGACGUCAAGUCAUCAUGCCCCUUAUGUCCAGGGCUUCACACAUGCUACAAUGGCCGGUACAAAGGGCUGCGAUGCCGUGAGGUGGAGCGAAUCCUUUCAAAGCCGGUCUCAGUUCGGAUCGGGGUCUGCAACUCGACCCCGUGAAGUCGGAGUCGCUAGUAAUCGCAGAUCAGCAACGCUGCGGUGAAUACGUUCCCGGGCCUUGUACACACCGCCCGUCACGUCAUGAAAGUCGGUAACACCCGAAGCCGGUGGCCUAACCCUUGUGGAGGGAGCCGUCGAAGGUGGGAUCGGCGAUUGGGACGAAGUCGUAACAAGGUAGCCGUACCGGAAGGUGCGGCUGGAUCACCU